UACGUAGGGUGCGAGCGUUAAUCGGAAUUACUGGGCGUAAAGCGUGCGCAGGCGGUUCGCCAAGUCAGGUGUGAAAUCCCCGGGCUUAACCUGGGAAUUGCGCUUGAAACUAGCGGGCUUGAGUGUGGCAGAGGGGGGUGGAAUUCCACGUGUAGCAGUGAAAUGCGUAGAGAUGCGGCGGAACACCGAUGGCGAAGGCAGCCCCCUGGGCUGAGAUUGACGCUCAGGCACGAAAGCGUGGGGAGCAAACAGG
RNAcentral lists this ribosomal RNA (253 nucleotides) under uncultured bacterium. RNAcentral's name for it is "partial 16S ribosomal RNA". It matches the Rfam family "Bacterial small subunit ribosomal RNA", at positions 524 to 776 of the family's 1533-position model. The record is from RNAcentral.